UUCGGACCGAGUGGCGCACGGGUGAGUAACACGUAACUGACCUACCCAGAAGUCAUGAAUAACUGGCCGAAAGGUCAGCUAAUACGUGAUGUGGUGAUUUGCCGUGGCAAAUCACUAAAGAUUUAUCGCUUCUGGAUGGGGUUGCGUUCCAUCAGCUGGUUGGUGGGGUAAAGGCCUACCAAGGCGACGACGGAUAGCCGGCCUGAGAGGGUGGCCGGCCACAGGGGCACUGAGACACGGGUCCCACUCC
RNAcentral lists this ribosomal RNA (250 nucleotides) under uncultured Deinococcus sp. RNAcentral describes it as "partial 16S ribosomal RNA". It matches the Rfam family "Bacterial small subunit ribosomal RNA", at positions 85 to 339 of the family's 1533-position model. The record is from RNAcentral. Lineage: Bacteria; Thermotogati; Deinococcota; Deinococci; Deinococcales; Deinococcaceae.